Molecule: ribosomal RNA, 916 nt
Filed under: uncultured bacterium
Lineage: Bacteria
Description: bacterial SSU rRNA
Rfam family: Bacterial small subunit ribosomal RNA
Source: RNAcentral
UUGUUGGUAAGGUGAAAGCUUACCAAGGCUUCGAUCAGUAGCUGGUCUGAGAGGACGACCAGCCACACUGGGACUGAGACACGGCCCAGACUCCUACGGGAGGCAGCAGUGGGGAAUUUUGGACAAUGGGGGCAACCCUGAUCCAGCCAUGCCGCGUGAGUGAAGAAGGCCUUCGGGUUGUAAAGCUCUUUCAGCCGGAACGAAACGGUUACGGAUAACACCCGUGACUACUGACGGUACCGGAAGAAGAAGCACCGGCUAACUACGUGCCAGCAGCCGCGGUAAUACGUAGGGUGCGAGCGUUAAUCGGAAUUACUGGGCGUAAAGCGUGCGCAGGUGGUUUUGUAAGUCAGAUGUGAAAGCCCCGGGCUCAACCUGGGAACUGCGUUUGAAACUACAAGACUAGAGUGUGGCAGAGGGGGGUGGAAUUCCGCGUGUAGCAGUGAAAUGCGUAGAGAUGUGGAGGAACACCGAUGGCGAAGGCAGCCCCCUGGGUCAACACUGACGCUCAGGCACGAAAGCAUGGGGAGCAAACAGGAUUAGAUACCCUGGUAGUCCAUGCCCUAAMCGAUGUCAACUAGUUGUCGGGCCUUUACGGGCUUGGUAACGUAGCUAACGCGUGAAGUUGACCGCCUGGGGAGUACGAUCGCAAGAUUAAAACUCAAAUGAAUUGACGGGGACCCGCACAAGCGGUGGAUUAUGUGGAUUAAUUCGAUGCAACGCGAAAAACCUUACCUACCCUUGACAUGUAUCGAAGCCCGCAGAAAAGCGGGGGUGCYCGAAAGGGAACGAUAACACAGGUGCUGCAUGGCUGUCGUCAGCUCGUGUCGUGAGAUGUUGGGUUAAGUCCCGCAACGAGCGCAACCCUUGUCAUUAAUUGCCAUCAUUUAGUUGGGCACUUUAAUGAGACUGCCGG